AUUGAACGCUGGCGGCAUGCUUUACACAUGCAAGUCGAACGGCAGCGAGGAGAAGCUUGCUUCUCUGUCGGCGAGUGGCGAACGGGUGAGUAUAGCAUCGGAACGUGCCAAGUAGUGGGGGAUAACCAAACGAAAGUUUGGCUAAUACCGCGUAAGCUCUAAGGAGGAAAGUAGGGGACCUAAAUAAGGCCUUACGCUAUUUGAUCGGCCGAUGUCGGAUUAGCUAGUUGGUGGGGUAAUGGCUCACCAAGGCAAUGAUCCGUAGCGGGUCUGAGAGGACGAUCCGCCACACUGGGACUGAGACACGGCCCAGACUCCUACGGGAGGCAGCAGUGGGGAAUUUUGGACAAAGGGGGAAACCCUGAUCCAGCCAUGCCGCGUGUAUGAAGAAGGCCUUAGGGUUGUAAAGUACUUUUGUUAGGGAAGAAAAGCUAGUUUUUAAUAAAAAUUAGUGAUGACGGUACCUAAAGAAUAAGCACCGGCUAACUACGUG
RNAcentral lists this ribosomal RNA (493 nucleotides) under uncultured bacterium. RNAcentral describes it as "partial 16S ribosomal RNA". It matches the Rfam family "Bacterial small subunit ribosomal RNA", at positions 30 to 507 of the family's 1533-position model. The record is from RNAcentral.